AGGCUGAGAGAGUUUGACUUGCCCAAGAUCAUCCAGUGGGUUUACAUGGCUGAGCCAAGAUUCAAACCCUGGUCUCUGGAAUCUUAGUCCAACACUCAAACCACUACACUACGCUGGCUCUGAAUAAUUAAAUUAGUGUCUCUUUAUUUGUAGGAGAGCUAUGAACUGUGCCUCUUGCUAACUGAUUCUGGAACUGGCAGGAUGGUAAAGAACCAAAGAGCUGGUAGAGGUGGGGAACUUGGAAUAUGAAAAUGGAGAAGAUCUCUAAAAAGAAAGAGUUGUCUGGUGUUGUGGUCAAUAUUCUUUCUGUGCCAAUAUUCUUUAUGUUCCCUUGGGCCUCUUAUACUGUAAUUCUGUACACAUGUGUCUGGGAAAAGAUUCCAUUGAAGUCAGUAGUUCUGAGUAAGUAAGCUUGCAUGGGACUACACUUUCUCAUAUUUUAUGGAUUUAUAUACAUGACAGUAUUAUCUCCUCUGAGAAUUCUGUAGAAGGGUGGGGAGUAAAGUACUCACAAUAAAUCAAUAAGCAAUCUGCUACACCCUCGUUUUGUGAAAUCCACAAUACAUUUUCAUGUUGCCACAUACCUCACUAAAAUUUUAAGUGCUUUUUCAGAUUUUGUCUAUUGCAUUUGUCAAAAUAUGACUCUGCAGAGUAGCUGGGACAGUGCUCCUAUCUGUGAUUGGGACAAUCACAACUCCUUAGUGGAAACAGAUUCUGUACAGAAGAGAUGGGAAUCAUGCAGUCUAUGGAACACAGGGAACGUGUCCAUGUCUUCAGCUGAGGUCUGAAUGCAGUCCAUAUACUACAUUAAAUGAGCUUUAACAAGCUGAAGUGCAGCCAGGAAAUCUGCUCCCUUGGUGAGAGGUGUAAAUUUGCUUUUAAUGGAGUAGUGCUCUUCUUAUACUUGCUGUUGGGUGCCCAAAUAACAGCUGUGACUAGUGAGGGCAUGCCAUCUUAGCUUAGCCUAGCAUACCAACUGCAUCCAUUGGGGGGAGAGUCUGAAUUUACCCAAAGUUACAUUAAGUUGGACUUCAUGGCCCUUGAGGUCUCUUCCAAUGCUAUGAUUCUAUGAAGAUUGAAAUGUAGUGCACUCAGAGUUUGUGUGGCCAUCUUCAAAAAGUUUUCAGAAAACUCUGUUGGUUCAGAAUGCAGAAGUUUAGGGAGUGUAUAGGAACACAGUUGUUCAGUUAUGUUAUAUGCUUUGUAGAAAAUAUGUAGUGCUUAUUCUUCUAGGUGUAAUCCUGAGUGUUGGUGGUGCUGGUCUGUAAUUUAUUUAUUGUUACCUGUACUGGCUUGGGUUGAGAGUGCCUUGAAAACCACCUCAUCUUGUCUCAUUGUGUCAAGAUCCAAAUGUGUGAAGGAGAGGCCCUUUUUGCAUCCCCUGUGGAUGAAUUCUAAGUUCUCUGAGACACAAGAAGGGGCCUUUUGUGUGUUUGCAUCCCAGUUGGUGAAUUCUGUCCCACAAUUGGUUCAUCUAAACCUCUUUCUCUGUGAGAGGAGGCACCUUUGUUCAGCUUAUUGUGCAAUCAUGCCCUAAAGUUAAAUACUUUAAAAUACUUUGUUAUUAACCUUGGCAUUUUAAGAUGACUUUGAUCUAGUAAUCACAUGUCAUGCUGUCCUGUCAGUUGGGGUUUUAGUUACCAGUAGUUUAAUUAUUGUUAAAAAAUUCUUUGAAUGUUGUUACUCUCUUUGAACAUGGCUGCUUUAAAUUUAAACAUUCUUCUGGAUGUGUGUUGUUUUCCCUUCUGAAAGGAAUAUAAACAAAUCUGGUGUUAGUAAACAAAGUAUGAAUAGUUACAUUUUGUAAUCAUCAAGGGCAUAAUGUUCUCUCUGCUGAGUUACCUUUGGGCAGGAGAGUUAUGAACAUGAGAAUUAUUCUAAGAAUUACUUAUAAUUUCCCCAUUUUACAACUUUGGUUAUAUAUGAAUAAUUUGUACAUGUUCCUUACUAUUUCCACCUGACCUCCUUCUGUCCCUUUCCCAGUAAUUUUCUUUUCUUUGCAGCCUUCUCUUCUCUCAAUAACUGUUCAAGUACGGUAAUAACAAUAGUUUUAAGGUAAAGUGUGUAUAUGUUUCUGCCCCAUUUUCCACAUGAUUUGGUUGUAUGCAGGGACUGGAAGAAACAAACUUACAAGGAAGAUAAGCUCAGGUGAGGUGUGCUCUUAAACCAUAUAGCUGGGCAAGCUCUCUGUUGUGUUGAGUAUGUAAUUUGAAACCACAUGAUAGAGUUAAAGGGCAAAGCCAGCAAAUUUCUUCCUUAGUAACCUGAUCAGUCUAAAAGAGCAAGGCAACCUGUUCAAGGCCACACAUAAAUCAUGGCUGGCUGGAUUUGAUACUUUCAAAGGCUAAGUGGCAAUUACAUUCAUCUUUAAAUUAUGAUGCUUUGAUAAAUAUGAAAGUUGGAUACCCUCAUGGCACAGGAGAAAAUACUCUAUCCCUUUCCUUUGAUUUUCCCGUGCUGCAAGUCUGUGAUUGGUUUUUCCAGCUCAGGAAGUGUCUGAGCCCAUCUGUCUUUCCUCUUACUGAGUCAGAAUGAGGACUUACCAGUAGCCUAACUGAACUGCUCCAAAAUAGGAGGACUUAUCCCUGGGAAUGGUACAAUUUCAGGGUUUUGAGGAGCUUCUUUUAGCUAUUUUUU
Molecule: long non-coding RNA, 2637 nt
Organism: Sceloporus undulatus (fence lizard)
Lineage: Eukaryota; Metazoa; Chordata; Lepidosauria; Squamata; Phrynosomatidae
Exons: 2
Source: RefSeq, a predicted model, not a curated record